RNAcentral lists this ribosomal RNA (253 nucleotides) under uncultured bacterium. RNAcentral describes it as "partial 16S ribosomal RNA". It matches the Rfam family "Bacterial small subunit ribosomal RNA", at positions 524 to 776 of the family's 1533-position model. The record is from RNAcentral.
UACAGAGGCCACAAGCGUUAGUCGGAAUCACUGGGCUUAAAGGGUGCGUAGGCUGGUCUGCAAGCGUCUUGUGAAAUACCCCGGCUCAACCGGGGAACAGCAGGGCGAACUGCGGAUCUUGAGGCAUGUAGGGGCUGCGAGAACAGUAGGUGGAGCGGUGAAAUGCGUAGAUAUCUACUGGAAUGCCGAUGGUGAAGACGCGCAGCUGGGCAUGUCCUGACGCUGAGGCACGAAAGCGUGGGGAGCAAACAGG